This 492-nucleotide ribosomal RNA is filed under the name uncultured bacterium. Its description in RNAcentral is "partial 16S ribosomal RNA". It matches the Rfam family "Bacterial small subunit ribosomal RNA", at positions 29 to 507 of the family's 1533-position model. The record is from RNAcentral.
AGUGAACGCUGGCGGUAGGCCUAACACAUGCAAGUCGAACGGCAGCACAGUAAGAGCUUGCUCUUACGGGUGGCGAGUGGCGGACGGGUGAGGAAUACAUCGGAAUCUACUUUUUCGUGGGGGAUAACGUAGGGAAACUUACGCUAAUACCGCAUACGACCUACGGGUGAAAGCAGGGGAUCUUCGGACCUUGCGCGAUUGAAUGAGCCGAUGUCGGAUUAGCUAGUUGGCGGGGUAAAGGCCCACCAAGGCGACGAUCCGUAGCUGGUCUGAGAGGAUGAUCAGCCACACUAGAACUGAGACACGGUCCAGACUCCUACGAGAGGCAGCAUUGGGGAAUAUUGGACAAUGAGCGCAAGCCUGAUCCAGCCAUACCGCGUGAGUGAAGAAGGCCUUCGGGUUGUAAAACCCUUUUGUUGGGAAAGAAAAGCAGCAGGUUAAUACCCCGCUGUUCUGACGGUACCCAAAGAAUAAGCACCGGCUAACUUCGUG